UAACGCGUGGAUAACCUGCCGUAUACCGGGGGAUAACACUUAGAAAUAGGUGCUAAUACCGCAUAAGCGCACGGCUCCGCAUGGGGCAGUGUGAAAAACUCCGGUGGUAUACGAUGGAUCCGCGUCUGAUUAGCUAGUUGGCGGGGUAACGGCCCACCAAGGCAGCGAUCAGUAGCCGGCCUGAGAGGGUGGACGGCCACAUUGGGACUGAGACACGGCCCAAACUCCUACGGGAGGCAGCAGUGGGGAAUAUUGCACAAUGGGGGAAACCCUGAUGCAGCGACGCCGCGUGAGUGAAGAAGUAUCUCGGUACGUAAAGCUCUAUCAGCAGGGAAGAAAAUGACGGUACCUGACUAAGAAGCCCCGGCUAACUACGUGCCAGCAGCCGCGGUAAUACGUAGGGGGCAAGCGUUAUCCGGAUUUACUGGGUGUAAAGGGAGCGUAGACGGCAGCACAAGUCUGGAGUGAAAUCCCGGGGCUUAACCCCGGAACUGCUUUGGAAACUGUGCGGCUGGAGUGCAGGAGGGGUAAGCGGAAUUCCUAGUGUAGCGGUGAAAUGCGUAGAUAUUAGGAGGAACACCGGUGGCGAAGGCGGCUUACUGGACUGUAACUGACGUUGAGGCUCGAAAGCGUGGGGAGCAAACAGGAUUAGAUACCCUGGUAGUCCACGCGGUAAACGAUGAAUACUAGGUGU
Molecule: ribosomal RNA, 694 nt
Filed under: uncultured bacterium
Lineage: Bacteria
Description: bacterial SSU rRNA
Rfam family: Bacterial small subunit ribosomal RNA
Source: RNAcentral